UGCCAUAGUCUGUAGGAUUGACACAGAUCUCUUAUCUAACUAUUUACUUUAACAAUUCUACUUGCGUAAAGUAAUGAAUAGACUUUAUCUUAUUCCAAUGUACAUUUCUGAUUUCGAAAAUGUAAAAGCUUAAAGAGGAAGAUCACUACAAACCUUUUCAAUGUCAGAAACGACUAACACCGUGAGUUAUUAUCAUAGCUCGGACUGUUUGAGUAUUGUUGUUAUUUUCGGGAGUGUGACUUUAGGCCUUCUGAUCAUAAUAAUAAUCUGUAUAUGCUGGAUAUGUUGUAGAAGAAAAACUCAACGAGACGGAAUAGUAAUUCAAUCUACGUCACAAAUGCAACCUGGGUCAAUUAUGAUGUCACAAGGUCAAAACUUACAUCACAGCCAGUGUCAAGGUCAUUGUCAACAUACCAUAGCGGCGCCAUCUACAGUUCAGCACGGUGUUAGUGAUUGCAGAUAUUAAGCAUCACAAAACAUGUGUAACAUUUUUGAGAAAAACAAUCUAAUAAGUUUUAUGUAAAUUGCAGAAAAUAUGCUGAAAUCAAUAAUCUGAAUGCAUAUUUUACAUGUAAUCAUUUACAAGAAU
Molecule: long non-coding RNA, 589 nt
Organism: Ruditapes philippinarum (Manila clam)
Lineage: Eukaryota; Metazoa; Mollusca; Bivalvia; Venerida; Veneridae
Exons: 3
Source: RefSeq, a predicted model, not a curated record